RNAcentral lists this ribosomal RNA (1143 nucleotides) under uncultured Shigella sp. RNAcentral describes it as "bacterial SSU rRNA". It matches the Rfam family "Bacterial small subunit ribosomal RNA", at positions 201 to 1340 of the family's 1533-position model. Lineage: Bacteria; Pseudomonadati; Pseudomonadota; Gammaproteobacteria; Enterobacterales; Enterobacteriaceae. The record is from RNAcentral.
CUUCGGGCCUCUUGCCAUCGGAUGUGCCCAGAUGGGAUUAGCUAGUAGGUGGGGUAACGGCUCACCUAGGCGACGAUCCCUAGCUGGUCUGAGAGGAUGACCAGCCACACUGGAACUGAGACACGGUCCAGACUCCUACGGGAGGCAGCAGUGGGGAAUAUUGCACAAUGGGCGCAAGCCUGAUGCAGCCAUGCCGCGUGUAUGAAGAAGGCCUUCGGGUUGUAAAGUACUUUCAGCGGGGAGGAAGGGAGUAAAGUUAAUACCUUUAAUCAUUGACGUUACCCGCAGAAGAAGCACCGGCUAACUCCGUGCCAGCAGCCGCGGUAAUACGGAGGGUGCAAGCGUUAAUCGGAAUUACUGGGCGUAAAGCGCACGCAGGCGGUUUGUUAAGUCAGAUGUGAAAUCCCCGGGCUCAACCUGGGAACUGCAUCUGAUACUGGCAAGUUUGAGUCUCGUAGAGGGGGGUAGAAUUCCAGGUGUAGCGGUGAAAUGCGUAGAGAUCUGGAGGAAUACCGGUGGCGAAGGCGGCCCCCUGGACGAAGACUGACGCUCAGGUGCGAAAGCGUGAGGAGCAAACAGGAUUAGAUACCCUGGUAGUCCACGCCGUAAACGAUGUCGACUUGGAGGUUGUGCCCUUGAGGCGUGGCUUCCGGAGCUAACGCGUUAAGUCGACCGCCUGGGGAGUACGGCCGCAAGGUUAAAACUCAAAUGAAUUGACGGGGGCCCGCACAAGCGGUGGAGCAUGUGGUUUAAUUCGAUGCAACGCGAAGAACCUUACCUGGUCUUGACAUCCACGGAAGUUUUCAGAGAUGAGAAUGUGCCUUCGGGAACCGUGAGACAGGUGCUGCAUGGCUGUCGUCAGCUCGUGUUGUGAAAUGUUGGGUUAAGUCCCGCAACGAGCGCAACCCUUAUCCUUUGUUGCCAGCGGUCCGGCCGGGAACUCAAAGGAGACUGCCAGUGAUAAACUGGAGGAAGGUGGGGAUGACGUCAAGUCAUCAUGGCCCUUACGACCAGGGCUACACACGUGCUGCAAUGGCGCAUACAAAGAGAAGCGACCUCGCGAGAGCAAGCGGACCUCAUAAAGUGCGUCGUAGUCCGGAUUGGAGUCUGCAACUCGACUCCAUGAAGUCGGAAUCGCUAGUA